Non-coding RNA from Maylandia zebra (zebra mbuna), 664 nucleotides. The record is from RefSeq and is a predicted model, not a curated record. NCBI's taxonomy places the organism in Eukaryota, Metazoa, Chordata, Actinopteri, Cichliformes, Cichlidae.
ACUAAACAAACAAAAUAAAUUAAUAAAUAGAAUGGAAUAGAAUGGGUUUACUGUCACUAUACAGUUGUACAAUGAGAUACGGAGCAUCUAUGUAAAAUGCCAAUUGUGUGAACUGCAAACUUUCUCGCUCUCAGUUUAGCUUCUAUACCUCCUUUCAGCAGAUACUUCUUCAGCUGUUUUUGGAAGACGAUUUCCACUACACAGCAUUCACACUGCAUUUUUGCAGGAAAUGUAACUUUUCUAGUUGCAAAUUAAAAAUUAAUUACAUUAAAUUAAUCUACAUGUGCUUUUCUCUUUAAUUACCUGCAAAUUUAAUUUUUAAUAUGCCAUUAGCAGUAUGUACUAGCCCCCCUCCCCCCAUGUGCCUGCUACCAGCAGCAUUCACAGCUGGAUUUAUUUCCGUUUUUUUGUGCCUGCAGUCUGUCAGGCUGUCUGAUCACAGAGGAAGGCUGUACUUAUAUGGCCUCAGCUCUGAGCUCCAACCCCUCCCAUCUGAGAGAGCUGGACCUGAGCUACAAUCAUCCAGGUCACUCAGGAAUGAGGUUGCUGUUGGCUGGACAGAAGGAUCCACGCUGGAGACUGGCUUCUCUCAGGGUGGAGCCUGCUGGAGACCGAUGGUUGAGACAUGGAGGUCUGAGGAAGUAUUCCUGUCAACUCACAAUCG